GGGGAAUAUUGGGCAAUGGGCGCAAGCCUGACCCAGCAACGCCGCGUGAGGGAAGAAGGUUUUCGGAUUGUAAACCUCUGUCGCAGAAGACGAAGGAAGUGACGGUAUUCUGUGAGGAAGCCCCGGCUAACUACGUGCCAGCAGCCGCGGUAAUACAGAGGUCUCAAGCGUUGUUCGGAAUCACUGGGCGUAAAGCGUGCGUAGGCUGUUUCGUAAGUCGUGUGUGAAAGGCGCGGGCUCAACCCGCGGACGGCACAUGAUACUGCGAGACUAGAGUAAUGGAGGGGGAACCGGAAUUCUCGGUGUAGCAGUGAAAUGCGUAGAUAUCGAGAGGAACACUCGUGGCGAAGGCGGGUUCCUGGACAUUAACUGACGCUGAGGCACGAAGGCCAGGGGAGCGAAAGGGAUUAGAUACCCCUGUAGUCCUGGCAGUAAACGGUGCACGCUUGGUGUGCGGGGAAUCGACCCCCUGCGUGCCGGAGCUAACGCGUUAAGCGUGCCGCCUGGGGAGUACGGUCGCAAGAUUAAAACUCAAAGAAAUUGACGGGGACCCGCACAAGCGGUGGAGUAUGUGGCUUAAUUCGAUGCAACGCGAAGAACCUUACCUGGGCUUGACAUGUAAUGAACAACAUGUGAAAGCAUGCGACUCUUCGGAGGCGUUACACAGGUGCUGCAUGGCCGUCGUCAGCUCGUGUCGUGAGAUGUUUGGUUAAGUCCAACAACGAGCGCAACCCCUGUUGCCAGUUACCAGCACGUGAAGGUGGGGACUCUGGCGAGACUGCCCAGAUCAACUGGGAGGAAGGUGGGGACGACGUCAGGUCAGUAUGGCCCUUAUGCCCAGGGCUGCACACGUACUACAAUGCCCAGUACAGAGGGGGCCGAAGCCGCGAGGCGGAGGAAAUCCUGAAAACUGGGCCCAGUUCGGACUGUAGGCUGCAACCCGCCUACACGAAGCCGGAAUCGCUAGUAAUGGCGCAUCAGCUACGGCGCCGUGAAUACGUUCCCG
This 1006-nucleotide ribosomal RNA is filed under the name uncultured bacterium. RNAcentral's name for it is "bacterial SSU rRNA". It matches the Rfam family "Bacterial small subunit ribosomal RNA", at positions 356 to 1376 of the family's 1533-position model. The record is from RNAcentral.